RNAcentral lists this ribosomal RNA (420 nucleotides) under uncultured bacterium. Its description in RNAcentral is "bacterial SSU rRNA". It matches the Rfam family "Bacterial small subunit ribosomal RNA", at positions 356 to 773 of the family's 1533-position model. The record is from RNAcentral.
GAGGAAUAUUGCGCAAUGGAGGAAACUCUGACGCAGCCAUGCCGCGUGAAGGAUUAAGGCCCUAUGGGUUGUAAACUUCUUUUGUAUGGGAAUAAACGCUCUUACGUGUAAGAGCCUGAAGGUACCAUAAGAAUAAGCACCGGCUAACUCCGUGCCAGCAGCCGCGGUGAUACGGAGGGUGCAAGCGUUAUCCGGAUUUAUUGGGUUUAAAGGGUCCGUAGGCGGACUAUUAAGUCAGGGGUGAAAGCCCGCAGCUCAACUGCGGAAUUGCCUUUGAUACUGGUAGUCUUGAGUACAAGUGAAGUUGGCGGAAUGUGUGGUGUAGCGGUGAAAUGCUUAGAUAUCACACAGAACACCGAUUGCGAAGGCAGCUGGCUAACUUGUAACUGACGCUGAGGGACGAAAGUGUGGGGAUCAAAC